This is a long non-coding RNA of Mastomys coucha (southern multimammate mouse), 2242 nucleotides long. RefSeq lists it as uncharacterized. The record is from RefSeq and is a predicted model, not a curated record. Lineage: Eukaryota; Metazoa; Chordata; Mammalia; Rodentia; Muridae. The transcript has 6 exons.
GAGAUGAAUACUAAGACUCAUCAUUAUGUGCUUCCUGAUAUGGACACAACGUGACCAGCUCUUCAAACCCCGCUGCCACAACUCUUCCACCAUAAUGGACUGUUACCAGGAUCUAUGAGCCAAAGUGCAGGGAUAUUUUACUGAAAGGAUCUAAACAAACCAAUAAAAGGGUUGGAAGUCCCUAAGACUCGAGGAACGCCAUAACAGCUGUAUGUAAAUUUGUGAUGCUUGCCUAAGCACUGCACAGGCUGCUGACGAUCUACUGGGAAGACCACUGCUGAUAACCCAAGAGACUCGUGGAGCAUGAGGAUCACAUGGGAGCAUUAAGAAAAGAUUAAGUUCCUUAGACUGGCUGAGCAGAUAUGCAGAGGAAAACCCAGGACACCCAGAUGAGCAGACGAUGUGACAGCUAGUUUGAUGUUGCUGAAGGCAAAAGUGCAGAAAGAAGGCUGGAUGGAGGUAUCAUGUGGUGACUUCUCCACCAAACUCCAGUUCCAUGCACAUGGGUGGAGAAGGCAGCAAGGCGCGACUGGAGAAAGGUGGACUGAAAACUCUCCCCCAGGAAUAAUUUCCAGCCCUAUAUGAGAUAAGAAACCUCAUAUUUACUAGUUUUCCCUUUCUUCUGUUUCCUGGUCUUGGUUACAGUGUCAUUUAUGGAGAAAGAGGCUCAUCUGAAGAGAGCAGAGAAUGAGGAGACAGCCUCUUCUUCUAUGACUGGCCUGACAGGUUGAGCACAUGCGGCAGAGAAACAGAAUUGAAUGAGUCCACACUAGAGCAGGGGACAGGAGAGCAGAGGCUGUAAAGUGGAAAGAGUGGCUAGGGUGAGACUGCCUCACUCGGGAAGACAGGGAAGAUCGACCCUCAUAGACUCAGGGGCUGAGAGCUGAGAGUAAGGAAUGUCCUAACGUUUACUGCUCUGAGAAUAAGAGGUUUAUACACAUGCCGCCAGACUUUGACCUGCAACUACUCCAGCCACAGGGAUUCAGUAGCCCUGAAAGUACUUUACAAGGAGAAAAGGAAAGAAUCCUUCUCUGGGGAAACUGUUUCCAAGUGAAUGUUUUAUAUGUAUAAUUAUCCUUGGUGUGUAUGGGAGACUGAUUCCCUAAGCCACUGCAGAGAGCAAGAUCUUAGAUGUGGCAGCCUCUCAUCUGAAAUACUGUAGUACUGGCAUCUAGAUCCAUACAUCCUUCUACCCAUUUAAAAACUAUCUCCAGAUUAUUUGUAACACCUAGACAAGCUAAAUGGUAUCUAUAUAAUACUAUGAGGUUUUUCUUAGGGAAUAAGAUAAACCUGUAUGUUUAUAACACACAUGUUUGUUUUUUUUCUCCCAAUUUCUUCCAUCCUCUAUUGCCUGAGUCCCUGGGUAUAGACCCCAUAGAAGCAGAGGCCAGAGCAUUUUGACACCUGUUAUGAAGAAAAGCAGCUUAGCUAACAGCAGAGACCACCAGCCAACAACCUCUAUCCCUGCAAACAGUUUCUGCCACCUUUUAGUUUCCCAUCAUUAACUAUGAAUCAAGCAUCACCAAAUGUUUAAGAUUGGAAUUGGAGAUGCAGCAGAAAACUCAGAUGCAAUUGAAAACCCUCUUGAGAGACGAGUAGAAAAGGAAACAAGGAAACAGAAGAUACAACAAUGACAGGAAAAUCUGAGGCUAACUCUAGGAAGUCUGAGAUUCAGGAGGAGAAAAGAGCGAAAAUGGGUGAAGUGAAAAUAAAGGGCAAGCUCCCAGGUUGCACGAGCCAUCAGCAUCCCAGCAUGAUGACGUCAAGAAGGGGCAACUGAGUCACUUUAAAACAAUUAGACUCCGUAUCACUGGGACAAUGUGUCAGAAAAGAAUUGAAUAGCAGGAAGCCAGAAGAAGGUAUGGGAUGGCCUGAAGCUGGAGUUGCAGGCAGUUAUGAACCACCAGACCUAGGUGAUGGAAUGGAUCUCAGGUUCCCUAGAAGAGCUACACACAGUCUGAGGUGCUAAGGCAUCUCUCCAACCCGUGUUUAUUUUUUAUCUUGUGAAAUGUAUCAACUUUUGUUUAUCCCUUCCUGUUAUCCUGGUGUCUUUAUUCUUACGGUUAUUUAGUAGGCUCUUAACAAUGUUGGGAUGUAAUUUUAUUUGGCUUCAGGGAAGUGAAUCUAGUUUAUAUUGAACCAAUGACUGUAAGUCCCAGAAGAGCUUGAGCUAUAGGUUGACUUUGUUUCUGUGAAACUACUGCUGGAAUUACUCUUAUUAUAAAGAAAAGAACUGACUCAA